RNAcentral lists this ribosomal RNA (497 nucleotides) under uncultured bacterium. RNAcentral describes it as "partial 16S ribosomal RNA". It matches the Rfam family "Bacterial small subunit ribosomal RNA", at positions 28 to 507 of the family's 1533-position model. The record is from RNAcentral.
GAUGAACGUUGGCGGCGUGCCUAAUACAUGCAAGUCGAGCGAACGGACGAGAAGCUUGCUUCUCUGAUGUUAGCGGCGGACGGGUGAGUAACACGUGGAUAGCCUACCUAUAAGACUGGGAUAACUUCGGGAAACCGUAGCUAAUACCGGAUAAUAUUUUGAACCGCAUGGUUCAAAAGUGAAAGACGGUCUUGCUGUCACUUAUAGAUGGAUCCGCGCUGCAUUAGCUAGUUGGUAAGGUAACGGCUUACCAAGGCAACGAUGCAUAGCCGACCUGAGAGGGUGAUCGGCCACACUGGAACUGAGACACGGUCCAGACUCCUACGGGAGGCAGCAGUAGGGAAUCUUCCGCAAUGGGCGAAAGCCUGACGGAGCAACGCCGCGUGAGUGAUGAAGGUCUUCGGAUCGUAAAACUCUGUUAUUAGGGAAGAACAUAUGUGUAAGUAACUGUGCACAUCUUGACGGUACCUAAUCAGAAAGCCACGGCUAACUACGUG